CCUACGGGCGGCUGCAGUGGGGAAUUUUGGACAAUGGGCGCAAGCCUGAUCCAGCCAUGCCGCGUGAGUGAAGAAGGCCUUCGGGUUGUAAAGCUCUUUCGGCCGGGAAGAAAUCGGGGUGGCUAAUAUCUGCUCUGGAUGACGGUACCGGAAUAAGAAGCACCGGCUAACUACGUGCCAGCAGCCGCGGUAAUACGUAGGGUGCGAGCGUUAAUCGGAAUUACUGGGCGUAAAGCGUGCGCAGGCGGUUUUUUAAGAUAGGCGUGAAAUCCCCGGGCUCAACCUGGGAACUGCGCUUAUGACUGGAAGACUAGAGUACGGCAGAGGGGGGUGGAAUUCCACGUGUAGCAGUGAAAUGCGUAGAGAUGUGGAGGAACACCGAUGGCGAAGGCAGCCCCCUGGGCCGAUACUGACGCUCAUGCACGAAAGCGUGGGGAGCAAACAGGAUUAGAUACCCCAGUAGUC
RNAcentral lists this ribosomal RNA (465 nucleotides) under uncultured Azonexus sp. Its description in RNAcentral is "bacterial SSU rRNA". It matches the Rfam family "Bacterial small subunit ribosomal RNA", at positions 338 to 795 of the family's 1533-position model. The record is from RNAcentral. Lineage: Bacteria; Pseudomonadati; Pseudomonadota; Betaproteobacteria; Rhodocyclales; Azonexaceae.